AAAUUGAGAGCAUCUUGUACCCUCCUAAUCCGAUUUGUUGAUUACUGAUUCCGGGUAACCCAACAAGAAUAAAUUCAUAAAUACAAGCUACAGAUGCAUGGGUGCUGUCAUAAUGUAACUGUUUGAGACUAUACCGCAGUGGCAGUACCUUCAAAGAAUCAAAGCAAAUGAGAAUGGAAAUAAAACAUAAUUUCCAAAGCUAAAAACAUUAUCUGGAGUCUGUGGUGCCAAAGAUGAGCAAAAAAU
This 246-nucleotide unclassified non-coding RNA is filed under the name Hevea brasiliensis (rubber tree). The record is from RNAcentral. Lineage: Eukaryota; Viridiplantae; Streptophyta; Magnoliopsida; Malpighiales; Euphorbiaceae.